Molecule: microRNA precursor, 78 nt
Filed under: Schistosoma margrebowiei
Lineage: Eukaryota; Metazoa; Platyhelminthes; Trematoda; Strigeidida; Schistosomatidae
Description: mir-3492 microRNA precursor family
Rfam family: mir-3492 microRNA precursor family
Source: Rfam by way of RNAcentral
AGCCUUCUGUAUCCGGGCUGAGACUUUGUCACAGACCAGACCACAAGAGCUGAUGAGACUUCCCAGAUAAGUAAAGUG